Molecule: ribosomal RNA, 426 nt
Filed under: uncultured bacterium
Lineage: Bacteria
Description: bacterial SSU rRNA
Rfam family: Bacterial small subunit ribosomal RNA
Source: RNAcentral
UCGGGAAUUUUGGGCAAUGGGCGAAAGCCUGACCCAGCAACGCCGCGUGAAGGAUGAAGCUUUUCGGAGUGUAAACUUCAUAAGAAUGGGACGAAGAGAAGGGGGCUAACAUCCCUCUGAUUUGACGGUACCAUUUGUAAGCUCCGGCUAACUCCGUGCCAGCAGCCGCGGUAAUACGGGGGGAGCAAGCGUUGUUCGGAUUUACUGGGCGUAAAGGGCGCGUAGGCGGCGUAACAAGUCACUUGUGAAAUCUCCGGGCUUAACCCGGAGCGGCCAAGUGAUACUGUUGUGCUAGAGUGCGGAAGGGGCUACUGGAAUUCUCGGUGUAGCGGUGAAAUGCGUAGAUAUCGAGAGGAACACCUGCGGCGAAGGCGGGUAGCUGGGCCGACACUGACGCUGAGGCGCGAAAGCCAGGGGAGCGAACGG